GGCUCAGGAUGAACGCUGGCGGCGUGCUUAACACAUGCAAGUCGAACGAAGCACCUCUAAUCGAAGAUUGAGAAAGCUUGCUUUGAUUGAUUCACCUUGAGGUGACUGAGUGGCGGACGGGUGAGUAACGCGUGGGUAACCUACCCUAUACAGGGGGAUAACAGUUGGAAACGACUGCUAAUACCGCAUAAGCGCACAGGACCGCAUGGUCUAGUGUGAAAAACUCCGGUGGUAUAGGAUGGACCCGCGUCUGAUUAGCUAGUUGGUGAGGUAACGGCUCACCAAGGCGACGAUCAGUAGCCGACCUGAGAGGGUGACCGGCCACAUUGGGACUGAGACACGGCCCAAACUCCUACGGGAGGCAGCAGUGGGGAAUAUUGCACAAUGGGCGAAAGCCUGAAUGCAGCGACGCCGCGUGAACGAAGAAGUAUUUCGGUAUGUAAAGUUCUAUCAGCAGGGAAGAAAAAUGACGGUACCUGACUAAGAAGCUCCGGCUAAAUACGUGCCAGCCGCGGC
This 516-nucleotide ribosomal RNA is filed under the name uncultured bacterium. RNAcentral describes it as "bacterial SSU rRNA". It matches the Rfam family "Bacterial small subunit ribosomal RNA", at positions 21 to 518 of the family's 1533-position model. The record is from RNAcentral.